AACGAACGCUGGCGGCAUGCCUAACACAUGCAAGUCGAACGAGACCUUCGGUCUAGUGGCGCACGGGUGCGUAACGCGUGGGAAUCUGCCCUUGGGUUCGGAAUAACAGUUAGAAAUGACUGCUAAUACCGGAUAAUGUCUUCGGACCAAAGAUUUAUCGCCCAGGGAUGAGCCCGCGUAGGAUUAGCUAGUUGGUGAGGUAAAGGCUCACCAAGGCGACGAUCCUUAGCUGGUCUGAGAGGAUGAUUAGCCACACUGGGACUGAGACACGGCCCAGACUCCUACGGGAGGCAGCAGUGGGGAAUAUUGGACAAUGGGCGAAAGCCUGAUCCAGCAAUGCCGCGUGAGUGAUGAAGGCCUUAGGGUUGUAAAGCUCUUUUACCCGGGAUGAUAAUGACAGUACCGGGAGAAUAAGCCCCGGCUAACUCCGUGCCAGCAGCCGCGGU
This 446-nucleotide ribosomal RNA is filed under the name uncultured bacterium. RNAcentral's name for it is "bacterial SSU rRNA". It matches the Rfam family "Bacterial small subunit ribosomal RNA", at positions 29 to 521 of the family's 1533-position model. The record is from RNAcentral.